GAUGAACGCUGGCGGCGUGCCUAAUACAUGCAAGUCGAGCGAACGGACGAGAAGCUUGCUUCUCUGAUGUUAGCGGCGGACGGGUGAGUAACACGUGGAUAACCUACCUAUAAGACUGGGAUAACUUCGGGAAACCGGAGCUAAUACCGGAUAAUAUUUUGAACCGCAUGGUUCAAAAGUGAAAGACGGUCUUGCUGUCACUUAUAGAUGGAUCCGCGCUGCAUUAGCUAGUUGGUAAGGUAACGGCUUACCAAGGCAACGAUGGAUAGUCGACCUGAGAGGGUGAUCGGCCACACUGGAACUGAGACACGGUCCAGACUCCUACGGGAGGCAGCAGGAGGGAAUCGUCCGCAAUGGGCGAAAGCCUGACGGAGCAACGCCGCGUGAGGGAUGAAGGUCUUCGGAUCGUAAAACUCUGUUAUUAGGGAAGAACAUAUGUGUAAGUAACUGUGCACAUCUUGACGGUACCUAAUCAGAAAGCCACGGCUAACUACGUG
RNAcentral lists this ribosomal RNA (497 nucleotides) under uncultured bacterium. Its description in RNAcentral is "partial 16S ribosomal RNA". It matches the Rfam family "Bacterial small subunit ribosomal RNA", at positions 28 to 507 of the family's 1533-position model. The record is from RNAcentral.